Molecule: long non-coding RNA, 867 nt
Organism: Scophthalmus maximus (turbot)
Lineage: Eukaryota; Metazoa; Chordata; Actinopteri; Pleuronectiformes; Scophthalmidae
Exons: 2
Source: RefSeq, a predicted model, not a curated record
UAAUUGUCAGCUAACGGGAUUUCUCUGUCACUGAGCUCGUGCUCUAGGCUUUUGUGGAAGAGGCUGAGCAGGAUCUCGUUCGGCAGACAGGGGGAGCUGUGAAUCUCCUCCACAUUCUCCAUCGCUGAGGACAAAAAGUACCUGUACUGAAUGUAAGGAAGAGGAGUUCAACCUGCUGGCAUUUUGGGAGUAGCUGAAUAAGGUCAAACUGAAAUGGGAUCAUGUGAACGUUGUCCUCAGAGGCCAGAGCUUCUCCUGCAUGAACAGAAGAAACCCUUUAAGCUACUGUGAAUGAAUCCUAACACAAUACCUGAACUACAAACUGUCUUCCAUGGAUAAAGCUGAUGCUGUGAAAAACCCUAUGUAUAUACAGACAACUGUGAAUGACAUUUCACAAAUUGUCAAGAUACAUGUGAAAACAUGUGUGUACUGCUUAUGUGUUGAUAACUGAUAAUAUGAUUUACUGUAUAUAUUUGAUAUAUAGAUGUGAGAAAAUCCAUUGCAGGCGUUUAACUCAAAGUCAGGCAGCCAGGGUUUGUCCAUCCCAAGUUUCUGAAAUCGGAGUAGGUUCAACUCGCUUCGUAGGACAGGUCUCAGGUUAACACUCCAAAAAACUGUAUUUCUAAUAGUAUGAGCAGAGUGGCUCUGAAACUGGAAUUUCAUGAGAUGUUUGUUAUUGUUGCUGUUGAAUGAUGUUGACUGUUUGCUCUGUUGUAUGUUUCAUGGGUCGUGGCAAUAAAUGUACAUUGUUGUGAAACUGAAUUUUCCACUCCUGGGACAAUAAACAAACUAACAAAUGCCAAGAUGACAGGUACAUUUUAAGUUUGCAUUAACUGAGGAAUGUAGAAUAAAGACCUGUCACACAAA